Molecule: long non-coding RNA, 503 nt
Filed under: Equus caballus (horse)
Lineage: Eukaryota; Metazoa; Chordata; Mammalia; Perissodactyla; Equidae
Description: lncRNA (ENSECAG00000054913.1)
Source: RNAcentral
AGUCAUGUGAAUGGGUCUCCAUGGUUUAUGCAUCCCUCCUUACUUUCAGACAUUUCUGACCUCCUUUACGGCAGCUCUGUCUUCUCUGAACCCCUGUGCUGUUUUCCAAGGCUCUUAUCAACCCAAGGAGGAAACACAGUAUGAACACAAGUUUUCAGAAAAGAAACUUAAGAGCCUGUUGGUGAUCAAAGGGGGACUAGGACUCAGGUUUCUGCUGGAUCCUGUUGUCUCCGUUGCUCUUGCUCCAGACUCUAAUCCAAGGUUUCCUUUAACAACAAAUUCUGAACAGCACCAGAAUAUGGGUAAGUUAAUUGGUCAUGAUGCUGGAGCGGACAGGCAGGCUGGGCCUAAACGACUGCAGAAGCCUUGUGAAUCACGGAGCAAGCCAGAAUCUCCCACCUGGCUCAUUCACUCAGGGCUCCAGAGCCCCAUUACCAUCGCUUGUCAGCCACGGGUUGGCUGGGGGUCAGAUCUUCGCCGACAAAGCACCCUGAGAAAUUCUU